AUGCGGAGAAGCAGUGUUGCCUGGCUGGCGAUGUGGUCAGCACUAGGAAGGACAUCGUCGAGCUCUCUUUCAAGGAUGGCGCCUGGAAGACGCUUAACUACCAUAUCGUUCUCCUCUCUAAGAGGAGGAGGGGCUAGCUCAAAGAAUGGCGUCACCGGGGAGGACGGCAGUGGCGUGCCCGUGUUCGCGGAGUACAACCUCGACGAGCUACACGCCUCCACCGAUGGCUUCGCAACGGACCACAUCAUCUUCGAGCACUGCGAGAAGGAGCCUAAUGCCGUCUACCACGGACCCUCUUCAGCUCUGGCACCACCGUCGCCAUCAAGCGCUUCGACCGCUCCGCCUGGCCUGACGCACGCCAGUUCGUGGAGGAGGCUAGGGCAGUUGGGCUGUUGCAGAGUGGUCGCUUGUCCAACCUCAUCGGAUGAUGCUACGAGGGUGGCGAGCGGCUGCUCGUUGCUGAGUUCAUGA
This 471-nucleotide ribosomal RNA is filed under the name Triticum aestivum (bread wheat). RNAcentral's name for it is "partial small subunit ribosomal RNA". Lineage: Eukaryota; Viridiplantae; Streptophyta; Magnoliopsida; Poales; Poaceae. The record is from RNAcentral.